Molecule: ribosomal RNA, 315 nt
Filed under: uncultured bacterium
Lineage: Bacteria
Description: bacterial SSU rRNA
Rfam family: Bacterial small subunit ribosomal RNA
Source: RNAcentral
GAUGAACGCUGGCGGCGUGCAUAACACAUUCAAGUCGAACGGAGUUAUAUGAGUAGCAAUACGAAUAUAACUUAGUGGCGGACGGGUGAGUAACGCGUGAGCAACCUGCCUUUCAAAGCGGGAUAACGUUUGGAAACGGACGCUAAUACCGCAUAACGUACCGACACCGCAUGAUGAUGGUACCAAAAGGGAAACCUGAUGAAAGAUGGGCUCGCGUCUGAUUAGAUAGUUGGUGAGGUAACGGCUCACCAAGUCUACGAUCAGUAGCCGGACUGAGAGGUCGAACGGCCACAUUGGAACUGAGAUACGGUCCAG